RNAcentral lists this long non-coding RNA (435 nucleotides) under Solanum tuberosum (potato). Its description in RNAcentral is "long non-coding RNA (STUB_LNC000182)". The record is from RNAcentral. Lineage: Eukaryota; Viridiplantae; Streptophyta; Magnoliopsida; Solanales; Solanaceae.
ACCGAGUUUAUACUAUAUGUAAUAUAUCGAAAUUGAAAUUCAUAAAAAAUGAAGGUAAUUUAAACCUAAAAUUGCGUCAAACAUUUAAAAAUGCAUAAAAUGAAGAGAUAGUCAUAUAAAUUAUAAUUUUUUUAAUACCAUCGACGUGGAGAGAUUGAUGAACAAGAAGAAGGCUGGCCUAUAUGAUCCAUGUGACUAAAUCUAUCUUUGCUUCCACAUCCUUAAUCCACUCUGGUAUAUAUUCAAACUUUUCCAAAUGAUGCUAGUUUUCUUUAAACGAUCUCUCAAGUUUUUCGGAUGAAGACGAAGAGCGAUUAGGAAAAUCACCACAUAUCUGAGGUGAAGGAGUGACAAGGAGCUUUGUUGAGUGGCCAUGUUGAUUUUUUUUGGUCAAAAUGAGAAGAAGAGGGCAGGUUUUAGGGUUUCAUUUCUUAG